This 69-nucleotide transfer RNA is filed under the name Dallia pectoralis (Alaska blackfish). Its description in RNAcentral is "tRNA-OTHER". The stretch from base 6 to 64 matches the Rfam family "tRNA", at positions 7 to 64 of the family's 71-position model. Rfam says of the family: Transfer RNA (tRNA) molecules are approximately 80 nucleotides in length. Their secondary structure includes four short double-helical elements and three loops (D, anti-codon, and T loops). Further hydrogen bonds mediate the characteristic L-shaped molecular structure. tRNAs have two regions of fundamental functional importance: the anti-codon, which is responsible for specific mRNA codon recognition, and the 3' end, to which the tRNAs corresponding amino acid is attached (by aminoacyl-tRNA synthetases). tRNAs cope with the degeneracy of the genetic code in two manners: having more than one tRNA (with a specific anti-codon) for a particular amino acid; and 'wobble' base-pairing, i.e. permitting non-standard base-pairing at the 3rd anti-codon position. The record is from RNAcentral. Lineage: Eukaryota; Metazoa; Chordata; Actinopteri; Esociformes; Umbridae.
AGUUGGUAGCUCAGUGGUAGAGUGCAUGCUUUUUGUGUAUGGAGUCCUGGGUUCAAAUGCCAGCUGCUC